ACAGCAGGCCACCUUAUCGCUGCAACAUAGGUUGGAGAGGAAAGUCUGGACACCAUAGUGCGGCAUAGCGGGUAACACCCGUCCACCGAAAGGUGAGGACCAGUGCAACAGAAAGCAAGUACAGUUCGGCUGUAGUGAAAUCGGCAAACUCUAUGCGGUGAAACGCCAUGUAAACCAGCACUUGAGGGCUGCACGCUCGAGUUGGAGGGUAGGCGGAUUGAGCUUUUGGGCAACCAGAAGCCUAGAUAAAUGAUAGGGAUAUACAGAAUCCGGCUUAUGGCCUGCUUUUAUU
This 292-nucleotide RNase P RNA is filed under the name Flagellimonas ochracea. RNAcentral describes it as "Allomuricauda ochracea Bacterial RNase P class A". It matches the Rfam family "Bacterial RNase P class A". Rfam says of the family: Ribonuclease P (RNase P) is a ubiquitous endoribonuclease, found in archaea, bacteria and eukarya as well as chloroplasts and mitochondria. Its best characterised activity is the generation of mature 5'-ends of tRNAs by cleaving the 5'-leader elements of precursor-tRNAs. Lineage: Bacteria; Pseudomonadati; Bacteroidota; Flavobacteriia; Flavobacteriales; Flavobacteriaceae. The record is from Rfam by way of RNAcentral.